UUUGGAAUAUUGCACAAUGGGGGAAACCCUGAUGCAGCGACGCCGCGUGGAGGAUGAAGGAUCUAGGUCUGUAAACUCCUUUUAUCGGGAAAGACUUAGGACGGUACCCGAUGAAUAAGCUCCGGCUAACUACGUGCCAGCAGCCGCGGUAAGACGUAGGGAGCGAGCGUUGUCCGGAUUUACUGGGCGUAAAGGGCGCGUAGGCGGUCUGUUAAGUGUGAAGUGAAAUCUCCAGGGCUCAACCCGGAAACUGCUUCGCAUACUGGCAGACUUGAGGAAUGCAGAGGUAAGUGGAAUUCCUGGUGUAGCGGUGAAAUGCAUUGAUAUCAGGAGGAACACCAAUGGCGAAGGCAGCUUACUGGGCAUUAUCUGACGCUGAGGCGCGAAAGCGUGGGUAGCAAACAGG
This 406-nucleotide ribosomal RNA is filed under the name uncultured bacterium. Its description in RNAcentral is "bacterial SSU rRNA". It matches the Rfam family "Bacterial small subunit ribosomal RNA", at positions 355 to 776 of the family's 1533-position model. The record is from RNAcentral.